Molecule: ribosomal RNA, 450 nt
Filed under: uncultured bacterium
Lineage: Bacteria
Description: partial 16S ribosomal RNA
Rfam family: Bacterial small subunit ribosomal RNA
Source: RNAcentral
GUGGGGAAUUUUGGACAAUGGGCGCAAGCCUGAUCCAGCAAUGCCGCGUGCAGGAAGAAGGCCUUCGGGUUGUAAACUGCUUUUGUACGGAACGAAACGGUUCUCUCUAAUACAGGGGGCUAAUGACGGUACCGUAAGAAUAAGCACCGGCUAACUACGUGCCAGCAGCCGCGGUAAUACGUAGGGUGCAAGCGUUAAUCGGAAUUACUGGGCGUAAAGCGUGAGCAGGCGGGUUUGUAAGACAGAGGUGAAAUACCCGGGCUCAACCUGGGAACUGCCGUUGUGACUGCAAGGCUGGAGUGCGGCAGAGGGGGAUGGAAUUCCGCGUGUAGCAGUGAAAUGCGUAGAUAUGCGGAGGAACACCGAUGGCGAAGGCAAUCCCCUGGGCCUGCACUGACGCUCAUGCACGAAAGCGUGGGGAGCAAACAGGAUUAGAUACCCCGGUAGUCC